CCAACAGGGAUUGCCUCAGUAACGGCGAGUGAAGCGGCAACAGCUCAAAUUUGAAAUCUGGCCUUCGGGUCCGAGUUGUAAUUUGUAGAGGAUGCUUAGGGUGUGGCUCCGGUCUAAGUUCCUUGGAACAGGACGUCAUAGAGGGUGAGAAUCCCGUAUGUGACUGGCAGCCUUCGCCCGUGUUAAGCUCCUUCGACGAGUCGAGUUGUUUGGGAAUGCAGCUCUAAAUGGGUGGUAAAUUUCAUCUAAAGCUAAAUAUUGGCCAGAGACCGAUAGCGCACAAGUAGAGUGAUCGAAAGAUGAAAAGCACUUUGGAAAGAGAGUUAAACAGUACGUGAAAUUGUUGAAAGGGAAGCGCUUGCAAUCAGACUUGCGCGCAGGUAAUCAUCUGGGGUUCUCCCCAGUGCACUUGCCUGCGCUCAGGCCAGCAUCAGUUUUGGCGGCUGGAUAAAGGCCCUAGGAAUGUAGCUUCUCUCGGGGAGUGUUAUAGCCUAGGGUGCAAUGCAGCCUGCUGGGACUGAGGACCGCGCUUCGGCUAGGAUGCUGGCGUAAUGAUUGUAAGCGACCCGUCUUGAAACACGGACCAAGGAGUCUAACAUCUAUGCGAGUGUUUGGGUAUCAAACCCAUACGCGUAAUGAAAGUGAACGGAGGUGAGAACCCUUAAGGGUGCAUCAUCGACCGAUCCUGAUGUCUUCGGAUGGAUUUGAGUAAGAGCAUAGCUGUUGGGACCCGAAAGAUGGUGAACUAUGCGUGAUUAGGGUGAAGCCAGAGGAAACUCUGGUGGAGGCUCGUAGGGGUUCUGACGUGCAAAUCGAUCUCAAAAAUUGCGUAUAGGGGCGAAUACUCAGUCUUUCGCUCCCCCCGCAGGCCUGCCACGGCAGGCUGACAUCUCUAGCAUGCUGGGAUUUUUAGCUAAAUACCAGCAGCCCUUCCCAGGGUUCACAGAUCAGAUGGAGAUGGCUCCGGCGCGCUGGAGUUAAGAUAUGAUCGGAGCGGAUUGUGACCAAUUCGUGCCUAAUCGAAGACUAAUCGAACCAUCUAAUCCAACUACUGGAUGGGAUAUGACAUGACUUGUAGUCUGGCGCGCCAGGCAACACUACCACUGUGCGGGUAUGCCGAGAGGCUACCUGCAGCCCUGUUUCCGGGGUUCACAGACUAAACGGUAGUGGCCCUCCGGGGUUCUGAUAUAGCCGAUUCCCGCUGGAGAGCGGUGCGAAG
Molecule: ribosomal RNA, 1219 nt
Filed under: Cyclaneusma minus
Lineage: Eukaryota; Fungi; Ascomycota; Leotiomycetes; Marthamycetales; Marthamycetaceae
Description: eukaryotic LSU rRNA
Rfam family: Eukaryotic large subunit ribosomal RNA
Source: RNAcentral